RNAcentral lists this ribosomal RNA (493 nucleotides) under uncultured bacterium. Its description in RNAcentral is "partial 16S ribosomal RNA". It matches the Rfam family "Bacterial small subunit ribosomal RNA", at positions 27 to 507 of the family's 1533-position model. The record is from RNAcentral.
GAGUGAACGCUGGCGGUAGGCCUAACACAUGCAAGUCGAACGGCAGCACAGUAAGAGCUUGCUCUUACGGGUGGCGAGUGGCGGACGGGUGAGGAAUACAUCGGAAUCUACUUUUUCGUGGGGGAUAACGUAGGGAAACUUACGCUAAUACCGCAUACGACCUACGGGUGAAAGCAGGGGAUCUUCGGACCUUGCGCGAUUGAAUGAGCCGAUGUCGGAGUAGCUAGUUGGCGGGGUAAAGGCCCACCAAGGCGACGAUCCGUAGCUGGUCUGAGAGGAUGAUCAGCCACACUGGAACUGAGACACGGUCCAGACUCCUACGGGAGGCAGCAGUGGGGAAUAUUGGACAAUGGGCGCAAGCCUGAUCCAGCCAUACCGCGUGGGUGAAGAAGGCCUUCGGGUUGUAAAGCCCUUUUGUUGGGAAAGAAAAGCAGCAGGUUAAUACCCCGCUGUUCUGACGGUACCCAAAGAAUAAGCACCGGCUAACUUCGUG